AACGGCCGACCUAGGCGAAGACGGGUAGCCGGCCUGAGAGGGCGAACGGCCACACUGGAACUGAGAUACGGUCCAGACUCCUACGGGAGGCAGCAGUGGGGAAUAUUGCACAAUGGGCGAAAGCCUGAUGCAGCAACGCCGCGUGAGUGAUGAAGGCUUUCGAGUCGUAAAGCUCUUUGAUCAGGGAUGAUAAUGACAGUACCUGAAAAACAAGCCACGGCUAACUACGUGCCAGCAGCCGCGGUAAUACGUAGGUGGCGAGCGUUGUCCGGAAUUACUGGGCGUAAAGGAUGCGUAGGUGGAUAUUUAAGUGGGAUGUGAAAUCCCCGGGCUCAACCCGGGAACUGCAUUCCAAACUGGAUAUCUAGAGUGCAGGAGAGGAAAGCGGAAUUCCUAGUGUAGCGGUGAAAUGCGUAGAUAUUAGGAGGAACACCAGUGGCGAAGGCGGCUUUCUGGACUGUAACUGACACUGAGGCAUGAAAGCGUGGGUAGCAAACAGGAUUAGAUACCCUGGUAGUCCACGCCGUAAACGAUGGGUACUAGGUGUAGGAGGUAUCGACCCCUUCUGUGCCGUCGUUAACACAAUAAGUACCCCGCCUGGGAGUACGGUCGCAAGACUAAAACUCAAAGGAAUUGACGGGGCCCGCACAAGCAGCGGAGCAUGUGGUUUAUUUCGAAGCAACGCGAAGACCUUACCUAGACUUGGCAUUUCCUGAUUACUCUUAAUCGAGGAAGCCCUUUCGGGCAGAAGACAGGUGGUGCAUGGAUGUCGUCAGCUCGUGUCGUGAGAUGUUGGGUUAAGUCCCGC
Molecule: ribosomal RNA, 808 nt
Filed under: uncultured Clostridium sp.
Lineage: Bacteria; Bacillati; Bacillota; Clostridia; Eubacteriales; Clostridiaceae
Description: bacterial SSU rRNA
Rfam family: Bacterial small subunit ribosomal RNA
Source: RNAcentral